Molecule: ribosomal RNA, 339 nt
Filed under: Microtermes mycophagus
Lineage: Eukaryota; Metazoa; Arthropoda; Insecta; Blattodea; Termitidae
Description: partial 12S ribosomal RNA
Source: RNAcentral
CCUGAAACUUAAAGAAUUUGGCGGUAUCCUAAUCCGUUUCAAAGAAUCCGGCCCGGUAUCCAUAAUCCCCGUUGGAACUUAAUUAGGGUUAAUUUGGGUUUGAAUACCGCCGUUAAUUGAUUAUCUUUUUAAAGGGUCAUGAAUUUUCUGGUUUCUUUAAUUUGAUUUAUUGCAGGUCAAGGUGCAGCUUUUUCUAAGUGUAAGGAGGAAUUACUUGGUUAUGGGUGGUUGGAAUGGUUUAUUUUAAUAUUGGCAUGAAAUUGGAUUUGGUUGUAAUGUUUUGUAGAUUGUUUUCAUGAUAAUUGGUUCUAAGAUAUGUACACAUCGCCCGUCGCUCUU